This 1156-nucleotide long non-coding RNA is filed under the name Nicotiana benthamiana. RNAcentral's name for it is "long non-coding RNA (NBEN_LNC033906)". The record is from RNAcentral. Lineage: Eukaryota; Viridiplantae; Streptophyta; Magnoliopsida; Solanales; Solanaceae.
CUUAAUCCUUCCAUUUUCUACAACCCAAGCUUUAAGAUUGAUUCAAGGAUCAGGAACGGUUUUCAAGAGGCCAUGAUGAAAAUGGCUUCCGAGGAUAAAGAUAAAGUAGAAAUUACUAAAGAACAUCCCAUAUACAUAAAUGCUCAAGGUGCUCUAGGGACUGAUUUUGCAGUAAAGGGGAGGACACUAAACGCCCCAGCUGAUUGGUGGAUGGGUUAUGGUUACGAAAUUCCAAGUCUACAGAGAGCUGCUAUACGGAUUUUGAGUCAACCUUGCAGUCUGGUAUAUAUGGUUAAACUUCAAUUGCCAGAAGUUCACUUGCAUAAUAUUAACUUGUUAGGAAGUGGAUCUCGGGUUUGAUUUAUAAGCUGUAAUAUGUACAUAAACAUGUAGUUUAUACUUUAUACUAGUCAAAUAAUAUAUUUAUAAACUCUAACAUAAUGUGUCUUCAGCUGAUUGGUGGAUGAGUUAUGGUUACGAAAUUCCAAGUCUACAGAGAGCUGCUAUACGGAUUUUGAGUCAACCUUGCAGUCUGCGCUGGUGUAGAUGGAACUGGAGCACUUUUGAUAGCGUUCAUAGCAAAAGACGGGACAGGUUGGAGCUUGAUAGAUUUGACGAUCUUGUUUAUGUGCACUGCAAUCUCUGGUUACAGGCAAUUGUAAGAAGUAAUGGCAAAUGUAAGCCAAUCAAUUUUGACGAAAUAGAUGUCGCCACUGAAUGGGAAGGAAUUGUAAGAAGUAAUGGCAAAUGUAAGCCAAUCAAUUUUGACGAAAUAGAUGUCGCCACUGAAUGGCCUACUGAAGCUGAAGUUGCAAGCACUUUCUUGGAUGAUUCCUGGUUGCACAGUCCACCCAUUGAAGGCAGAGGUAUCCCUUCAUUUAGUAAAUUAUCUAUAAAUGCAGAUAAUAAGUUUUAUUUCUCUAAUUUUUUAUUGGCCUAUCUGAAAAAUAAAUACUUCUGGAUUAUCUAUGGUUGCACAAUUCAUCCUUUACGUGAAUAAUUCUGGAUUUCAAUGAAUCGAGUAGUCAUAAUUUUAUUGCUGAUAUAUGUUUGUGACCAGGCAGUGAUUUUUCUUAGUUUAUAAAGCUGGAAUAUUUUGGUAUCUGGCUUAAAUGUCGUUAUACAAAUUUGCAGUGUGAAUCAUAAGCACCCUAAC